This is a non-coding RNA of Oncorhynchus mykiss (rainbow trout), 1829 nucleotides long. The record is from RefSeq and is a predicted model, not a curated record. Lineage: Eukaryota; Metazoa; Chordata; Actinopteri; Salmoniformes; Salmonidae.
GACUGUGAAGAGACCUCUUGUGGAAUGUCUUGUGGGGUAUGCAUGGUGUAACUAGGAGGAGAGGCCUCAUUUAGCAUAGUAGUUUCAUCAGGUUUGAGCCAUGUUGCAGUCAGGCCAAUCACAUCAAGAUUAUGAUCAGUGAUUAGUUCAUUGACUAUGACUGCCUUGGAAGUGAGGGAUCUAACAUUAAGUAGCCCUAUUUUGAGAUGUGAGAGAUCGCAAUCUUUUUCAGAGGAAUGGAUGAGGGCCCUAUUCUAGUGAGAUUGCCAAGGUGAACAUGGCUAUAUUUAGUUUUGCCCGACCUAUAUCGAGGCACAGAAUAGGGAAAGCUGAGUGGCCUCAAUGGGGAAAGCUGAGCUGACUAUACUGACUGUGCCAGUGGCAGACUACACUAAGCUGGCAGGCUGACUAACUGCCUGCUACCUGGCCUGCACCCUAUAUCAUUUUGGAGCUAGAGGAGUUAGAACCCUGUCUAUGUUGAUAGAAAAGAUGAGAGCAAUGCUCCAGCUAGGAAUGGCCACAAUUCCUGACCACAACUACUAACCACUAGCACAUAACUACUGACCACAACUACACAUCUACUGACCUCAACCACACAACUACUGACCACAAAUACUGACCACAACUCCUGGCCACAACUACUAACCACAUCCACACAACUACUGGCCACAACAAUAUAACUAACUACUGACCAAAUCCACACUACUACUGCCCACAACUACUGACCACAACUAAUGACCACAACCACACAAUUACACAACUACUGACCAGAAAUACUGACCACAACUCCUGACCACAACUACUAACCAGAACCACACAACUACUGACCACAACUUACAACCACAUCUACGGACCACGUCCACACAACUACUGACCAUAACUACUGACCACAAAUACUGACCACAACUCCUGGCCACAACUACUAACCACAUCCACACAACUACUGGCCACAACAAUAUAACUAACUACUGACCAAAUCCACACUACUACUGCCCACAAUUCCUGACCACAACUAAUCACCACAACCACACAACUACUGAUCACAACAAAUAAUCACAAUCACUGACCACAACUACUGACCACAACCACACAACUACUGACCACAACUAAGAACCAUAAUUACUGACCACAACCACACAACUACUGAUCACAACAACACGACACCUGACCACAACAGCACAACUAAUGACCACAACUAUUAAUUUAAACCACUGACCACAAUUUGACUUGUUUCAGAAUUCUAGUCUAUGUCGCAAGUCAUGACUUCACAGGAGAGGCGUUUGAAAGCCAAGCAAGUUGUUCAAACAAAACAGAAAUGACACCGGACGUCUUAUUUAAUGAAAGGGGUUGCCGUCUGCUGUGAAGCGUUCUUCCAUGUAUGUGGCAUCAAUAGAACACUCCUGACUCUCUUCCACCAGUCAUAAAAGGAGAAUGGUCUAAUGCCUCCCAUCAAAAAGAGAGCUGGCCCAAGCAAGCACUUGUUCAGAGUAAGCGGUCUGUCAACCAGAAGAUGGUUGCUGACUGCAAGACCAACUGUCAAGACCUGCAGUUGUCUCUGGGGGCACUACUGAAUCAGUGCACUAUUCUUCUGACUCUAUGCAGCCAGAUCCCAUCUACGUGUUUGGUGUCUGCUGUGAAGGAAAGCCACAACAAGUCAACUACUUGAUUGAUGAAGGCAUGUCAUCCAGCACGGACGAUGCACAGGCAGUCAUCAACUACAUGCACCAUUUCUUCACCGACUAUGGUUAACAUCUACAUCACCAGAGGAACAGAGGAGGAGUAGGAUACGGGUACGGCUAAAGGCUAUAAGAACUGAUCUAGUGCGUUGG